UCAGUGUGUAAAUGGAACCUCCAAAUAAGAUUAAAUUGAAGAGAAAGCAUUAAAGGGCAGUAUUCCAGUGGAAUCCAUGAACAGUUUAUGGACGAAGGGGCCCUGAGCCAAGGAAAGCAGGCCACCUCUAGAAGCUGGAAAAGGCAAGGAAAUGAAAUCCCCCAAGAGCCUCCAGAAGGAACACAACCAUGCCAACCUGUUUUAGACUUCUGAUCUCCUGAACUGUAAAAUAAUAAAUAUGUGUUGUUUUAAGGCAAUAAAUUUGUGAUAAUCUGUUAUAGUAGCAAUAGGAGAAGAAUACAGCAAAUCAACACUGAUUUUAUUUUCUUAACAUGGUGCAACUAAUACCAACUUAAAAGCAAUUUAAACUUUACACACUAG
Molecule: long non-coding RNA, 381 nt
Filed under: Homo sapiens (human)
Lineage: Eukaryota; Metazoa; Chordata; Mammalia; Primates; Hominidae
Description: non-protein coding lnc-USP16-14:1
Source: RNAcentral